RNAcentral lists this ribosomal RNA (330 nucleotides) under uncultured bacterium. RNAcentral describes it as "bacterial SSU rRNA". It matches the Rfam family "Bacterial small subunit ribosomal RNA", at positions 568 to 898 of the family's 1533-position model. The record is from RNAcentral.
CACGCAGGCGGAUUGAUAAGUCAGGGGUGAAAUCCCGGGGCUCAACCUCGGAAUUGCCUUUGAUACUGUCUGUCUUGAGUUCGGGAGAGGUUGGCGGAAUUCCUAGUGUAGAGGUGAAAUUCGUAGAUAUUAGGAAGAACACCAGUGGCGAAGGCGGCCAACUGGCCCGAUACUGACGCUCAUGUGCGAAAGCGUGGGGAGCAAACAGGAUUAGAUACCCUGGUAGUCCACGCCGUAAACUAUGGAUGCUAGCCGUUGGGGAGCUUGCUCUUCAGUGGCGCAGCUAACGUCUUAAGCAUCCCGCCUGGGGAGUACGGUCGCAAGAUUAAA